This 209-nucleotide ribosomal RNA is filed under the name uncultured prokaryote. RNAcentral's name for it is "partial 16S ribosomal RNA". The record is from RNAcentral.
UAUAGUGUUAUUAAUAUCAAGUUGGGGGAGCCCAUUGUAGCAUUGUGCCAAUUCAUCCAUUAACUUCUCAGUAACAGAUACAAACUCAUCACGAACGUCAGAAGCAGCCUUAUGGCCGUCAACAUACAUAUCACCAUUAUCGAACUCAACGCCCUGCAUACGAAAAGACAGAAUCUCUUCCAAGAGCUUGAUGCGGUUAUCCAUCUGCU